This is a long non-coding RNA of Aedes albopictus (Asian tiger mosquito), 572 nucleotides long. RefSeq lists it as uncharacterized. The transcript is spliced from 3 exons. NCBI's taxonomy places the organism in Eukaryota, Metazoa, Arthropoda, Insecta, Diptera, Culicidae. The record is from RefSeq and is a predicted model, not a curated record.
UUUUGUCGGCAUAAUCACGCCCCUGCGCAGAAGGGUUGCCAACCUAAAUUCCGAGUGACUUUACUUUGUGUGAGCGAGUUGCCAAAUCUCGGGUAUCGCAUUUUCUGCUGACUAAUGCCCAAGAACAGAUUUCAAGACAGAGUCCAAAUCAUUCCAUCUGUGACUAUCAUAGAUAAUUGUAGUGCGCGACGUGUAUUCCAAUAAGUAAAUUGCAAUGGUGAAAAUCAAGUGGUGUAUAUGACUUAUUUGUGUGUUUAUUCUUUUAGAUUCUUAAAAACUAGUUAAAAAUGUCAAAACCUAAAAACUAGUUGAAAAAGUCAAACUUAAAAGCUAGUAGUACGGUAAAUUGUUAAAUAGUACGCUAUUGUUCUAUUUCUAUCAAAAGAAUAAGGUUCAGCCGCUAUUGUGAAAUAGCAAGUGUUAAGAAAAGGUCCACUUCUGGGCCUUUUCUUUUUGACCUUCGGGGUCCCAAAACCGGAGGACAUUGUUCGUUUUCCCACAGAAAUACCACCGAUGCACUGGACACGCCAAGAUACGCUGUCAUCCCGAAAUCUCUGGCUUCCCUACGGUGA